This 467-nucleotide ribosomal RNA is filed under the name uncultured bacterium. Its description in RNAcentral is "partial 16S ribosomal RNA". It matches the Rfam family "Bacterial small subunit ribosomal RNA", at positions 28 to 507 of the family's 1533-position model. The record is from RNAcentral.
GACGAACGCUGGCGGCGUGCUUAACACAUGCAAGUCGAACGGAAAGGCCCUGCUUUUGUGGGGUGCUCGAGUGGCGAACGGUUGAGUAACACGUGAGUAACCUGCCCUUGACUUUGGGAUAACUUCAGGAAACUGGGGCUAAUACCGGAUAGGAGCUCCUGCUGCAUGGUGGGGUUGGAAAGUUUCGGCGGUUGGGGAUGGAUUCGCGGCUUAUCAGCCUGUUGGUUGGGUAGUGGCUUACCAAGGCUUUGACGGGUAGCCGGCCUGAGAGGGUGACCGGCCACAUUGGGACUGAGAUACGGCCCAGACUCAUACGGGAGGCAGAAGUGGGGAAUAUUGCACAAUGGGCGGAAGCCUGAUGCAGCAACGCCGCGUGCGGGAUGACGGCCUUCGGGUUGUAAACCGCUUUCGCCUGUGACGAAGCGUGAGUGACGGUAAUGGGUAAAGAAGCACCGGCUAACUACGUG